UGGGGAAUAUAUGGACAAUGGGGCGCAAGCCUGAUCCAGGCCAUGCCGAGUGAGGAUGAAGGCCUUAGGGUUGUAGAAGCUCCUUUCGUCGGCGAAAGAUAUGACGGUCCCCCAGAGAAGAAGCCUCGGGUGACUCCUG
This 139-nucleotide ribosomal RNA is filed under the name uncultured bacterium. RNAcentral describes it as "partial 16S ribosomal RNA". The record is from RNAcentral.